GCUGGAGUGGCGGAACUGGCAUACGCGCUAGCUUCAGGAGCUAGUACCGUAAGGUUUGAGGGUUCGAAUCCCUCCUCCAGCACCA
Molecule: transfer RNA, 85 nt
Filed under: Candidatus Ryanbacteria bacterium RIFCSPHIGHO2_02_FULL_45_13b
Lineage: Bacteria; Candidatus Ryaniibacteriota
Description: tRNA-Leu
Rfam family: tRNA
About the family: Transfer RNA (tRNA) molecules are approximately 80 nucleotides in length.
Source: RNAcentral